GAAUGCCAUUUUUCCCUUCAUAUCUCAUUGAAGAAGUGGAUGUAGAAGCUGCACCAAUGCCUCCUUUGUCAUGAGAACCUUUAGCUUGUUUCAUUAUAGAUUUGAGACUUUCUUCUCCUUGAACAAACUUUCCCAUGGCUUUCUGAAGAUCUUUGACUUCUUGCUCCAAUGACUUGAUCUUUUCAGCUUGAAUAGAGAUUUCGGCUAAGCUUUGGGAUUUGCUUAACUCGAAUGCCUCCAAGCUUGCAUCCUUAGCUUUAAGAUCUGCUCUCAGCGAGCUGAGUUCCUUCAUGAGUGUAUCAUUCCUUCUUUGGAUUUGCA
This 321-nucleotide long non-coding RNA is filed under the name Daucus carota (carrot). Its description in RNAcentral is "long non-coding RNA (DCAR_LNC002014)". Lineage: Eukaryota; Viridiplantae; Streptophyta; Magnoliopsida; Apiales; Apiaceae. The record is from RNAcentral.